CCUACGGGAGACUGCAGUAGGGAAUUUUUGACAAUGGGCGCAAGCCUGAACGAGCAAUGCCGCGUGAGCGAGGGAGGUCUUCGGAUCGUAAAGUUCUGUUGAAGGGGAAAAAGAGCGGAGAGAGGAAAUGCUAUCUGAUUGAUAUUACCCUUCGAGGAAGUCCCGGCUAACUACGUGCCAGCAGCCGCGGUAAUACGGGGGUGGCGAGCGUUAUCCGGAAUGAUGGGGCGUAAGGGGUGCGUAGGCGGCCUGCUAAGUCUGGAGGAAAAGGUACCGGCUCAACCGGUACAGGCUCUGGAAACUGGCGGGCUAGAGAGCAGGAGAGGGCAGUGGAACUCCAGGUGUAGCAGUAAAAUGCGUAGAUAUAUGGAGGAACACUAGUGGCGAAGGCGGCCGCCUGGCCUGUUACUGACGCUGAGGCACGAAGGCGUGGGGAGCAAAUAGGAUUAGAUACCCUUGUAGUC
This 464-nucleotide ribosomal RNA is filed under the name uncultured bacterium. Its description in RNAcentral is "partial 16S ribosomal RNA". It matches the Rfam family "Bacterial small subunit ribosomal RNA", at positions 338 to 795 of the family's 1533-position model. The record is from RNAcentral.